GAUGAACGCUAGCUACAGGCUUAACACAUGCAAGUCGAGGGGAAACGAUAUUGGAAGCUUGCUUCCGAUAGGCGUCGACCGGCGCACGGGUGAGUAACGCGUAUCCAACCUGCCCAUCACUUGGGGAUAACCUUGCGAAAGUAAGACUAAUACCCAAUGACGUCUCUAGAAGACAUCUGAAAGAGAUUAAAGAUUUAUCGGUGAUGGAUGGGGAUGCGUCUGAUUAGCUUGUUGGCGGGGUAACGGCCCACCAAGGCGACGAUCAGUAGGGGUUCUGAGAGGAAGGUCCCCCACAUUGGAACUGAGACACGGUCCAAACUCCUACGGGAGGCAGCAGUGAGGAAUAUUGGUCAAUGGACGAGAGUCUGAACCAGCCAAGUAGCGUGCAGGAAGACGGCCCUAUGGGUUGUAAACUGCUUUUAUAAGGGAAUAAAGUGAGUCUCGUGAGACUUUUUGCAUGUACCUUAUGAAUAAGGACCGGCUAAUUCCGUGCCAGCAG
This 499-nucleotide ribosomal RNA is filed under the name uncultured bacterium. Its description in RNAcentral is "bacterial SSU rRNA". It matches the Rfam family "Bacterial small subunit ribosomal RNA", at positions 28 to 514 of the family's 1533-position model. The record is from RNAcentral.